GAGGAUGUUGGCUUAGAAGCAGCCAUCAUUUAAAGAAAGCGUAACAGCUCACUCAUCGAGAGAUCUCGCACCGCAGAUAAUCGGGGCUAAACGUAGUACCGAAUUUGAGGGCUCUGGCGGCGUUCGCGCCGCCAGAGCGGUAGAAGACUAUUCCACUCUUGCUGUGAAGGAGAAGGCGUGAGCCACUCUGGAGCGUGUGGAAGUAAAAAUGUUGGCACAAGUAACCGCAAGGAAGGUGAGAUCCCUUCCCGCCGAAAGACUAAGGUUUCCAGAGCUAUGAUUGUCAACUCUGGGUUAGUCGGGCCUAAGGAGAUGGCGAAAGCCGUAUCUGAUGGACACAUGGUUAAUAUUCCAUGACUUCGUAUCUGUGCGAUGGGAGGACGGAGGGUAGUAUGUACAGCUCAUUAUUGGAUUUGAGUUUGUGACGUAAGUGGGGUGCGCAGGAAAAUCCGCGUACUGCCUUAGAUGGCAACUUGCAAGCGUAGCAGAAAUGUGAGGGUUCGCCCUUGCAGAUUGUACAAAGCACGCUCCCGAGAAAAAUCUCUAAGCUUCAACAGAUAUGAAUCCGUACCGUAAACCGACACAGGUAGUCAGGUCGAGAAGACCAAGGCGAACGAGUGAUUGAUCCCCAAGGAACUCGGCAAAAUAGCAGCCGUAACUUUGGAAUAAGGCUUGGCUAUAGCAAUAUAGCCCGCAGCGAAAGACUCUCUGGCAACUGUUUACCAAAAACACAGCUCCCUGCGAACUCGUAAGAGGAUGUAUAGGGGGUGACACCUGACCAAUGCGAGAAGGUCAACUAUCGGUGGUCAUAUUCCGCUUUUCAUUUGAGAAAUCGAAUGCGAAGCGGAGUAUGGCUGGCUGAUAUAAGCCCUCGUGAAUGUCGGCCGUAACUAUAACGGUCCUAAGGUAGCGAAGUACCUUGUCGGGUAAGUUCCGACGCGCACGAAUGGUGUAAUGACUGGAGAACUGUCUCGGGGAUUAGCUCGGUGAAAAUACAAUACCGGUGAAGAUGCCGGUUACCUGCAGAUAGACGAAAAGACCCUAGAAGCUUUACUGCAGCUUGAUAUUGACUAUAUUUGUUCACUGCGUAGGAUAGGUGGGAGAGGUUUGAUGGUUACGAUUUCGGUUGUGAUCUACUCGUCAGUGAAAUACCACUCUGUCAACAGGUAUAGUCUAAUCCUCACGGCAAAAACGUGAAGAGACAGUUUCUGGUGGGCAGUUUUACUGGGGCGGUAUCCUCCCAAAAAGUAACGGAGGAGUUUAAAGGUCAGCUAGGCGCGAAUGGAAACCGUGCCGAUAGUGUAAGGGCACAAGCUGGCUUGACUGUAAGGCGUACAUGCCGAGCAGAUGCGAAAGCAGAACCUAGUGAACCGAUGGUUCGCAUUAGAUGCGGCCGAAGAUUAACGGAUAGAAGCUACUCUAGGGAUAACAGGCUAGUUCCGCCUAAGAGUUCAUAUCGACGGCGGAGUUCGGCACCUCGAUGUCGGCUCACCUUAUCCUGGUGGUGGAGAAGCUACCAAGGGUUUAGCUGUUCGCUAAUUAAAAAGGUACGCGAGCUGGGUUCAAACCGUCCUGAAGCUAAGAAAUUUAUUUUUUAGCUGAAGGACAGUUUGAAUCCGUUGAGGAAAAUAUUCGCGAGAAUAUUUAUGUUAAUUGAGACAAGACCAUGUAUGUACUGUGUGUACAUAUCACGGCGGCACAUAACAGAAAUGUUGUGCGAGAAGUUCACUUAUAUCGGUAAA
RNAcentral lists this ribosomal RNA (1742 nucleotides) under wastewater metagenome. RNAcentral's name for it is "bacterial LSU rRNA". It matches the Rfam family "Bacterial large subunit ribosomal RNA", at positions 1094 to 2925 of the family's 2925-position model. The record is from RNAcentral.